GUAGUCUCGCACAGAUGCAUAUCAAUAAGCGGAGGAAAAGAAACUAACAAGGAUUCCCCUAGUAACGGCGAGUGAAGCGGGAAGAGCUCAAAUUUGAAAUCUUAAAGGGUUUCCCUUUACGAAUUGCUAGUUUAAAGAAGUGUUUUCUGUUGAGGUUUUGGUAAAAGUUCUUUGGAAUAGGACAUCAUAGAGGGUGAGAAUCCCGUAUUUGACCUUUACUUUUCAACUUUGUGAUACACUUUCAAAGAGUCGGAUUGUUUGGGAAUGCAGUCCAAAAUGGGUGGUAAAUUUCAUCUAAAGCUAAAUAUUGGCGAGAGACCGAUAGCGAACAAGUACCGUGAGGGAAAGAUGAAAAGAACUUUGAAAAGAGAGUUAAACAGUACGUGAAAUUGUCAAAAGGGAAGCGUUUGACACCAGUGUUGUUUUUCUGAAAAUCAAUUAAAGAACUGUUUAUGCUAAGCUGUUUAGACUUUAUCAGCUAACUGUUUAGUUUUGAGCUUUUCUUUAAUGCACUUUUCAGUUAACAAGUCAACAUCAAUUUCUUUUGCUGUAAAAAAGCUUGAGGAAGGUGGCUUGAGAUUCGUCUUAAGUGUUUAUAGCCUCUUGCCUAUGCAGUCGGAGAGGAUUGAGGUCUGCAGCGUAAAUCCUUCGGGGCUAAAUGCAUUUGUGCUAAGUUAUAGCAUUUUAUAGACAACUUGUUGACUAUGAUUUGUCUUGUAGCUUACUCGCUUAUGUUAUUUUACCUACGCUUAGGAUGUUGAUCUGUAGUGCGUGCGC
RNAcentral lists this ribosomal RNA (777 nucleotides) under uncultured Neocallimastigales. RNAcentral's name for it is "partial large subunit ribosomal RNA". It matches the Rfam family "Eukaryotic large subunit ribosomal RNA", at positions 24 to 647 of the family's 3401-position model. The record is from RNAcentral. Lineage: Eukaryota; Fungi; Neocallimastigomycota; Neocallimastigomycetes; Neocallimastigales.